GCCUCCCUCCGCGCCAUCAGACUCCUACGGAGGCAGCAGUGGGGAAUCUUGCGCAAUGGCCGAAAGGCUGACGCAGCGACGCCGCGUGUGGGAUGAAAUAUCUUGGUAUGUAAACUCCUUUCGAUGGGGAAGAUUAUGACGGUACCCAUAGAAGAAGCCCCGGCUAACUUCGUGCCAGCCGCCGCGGUAAUUC
RNAcentral lists this ribosomal RNA (193 nucleotides) under uncultured bacterium. RNAcentral describes it as "partial 16S ribosomal RNA". It matches the Rfam family "Bacterial small subunit ribosomal RNA", at positions 307 to 526 of the family's 1533-position model. The record is from RNAcentral.